GCCGGGUGUGGUGGCGCACACCUGUAGUCCCAGCUACUCGGGAUGCUGAGGCAGGAGAAUUGCUAGAACCCAGGAGGCAGAGGGUGCAGUGAGCCAAAAUUAUGCCACUGCACUCUAGCCUGGGCAACAGAGCAAGAAUCUGUCUCAA
RNAcentral lists this signal recognition particle RNA (148 nucleotides) under Nomascus leucogenys (northern white-cheeked gibbon). RNAcentral describes it as "Metazoan signal recognition particle RNA". It matches the Rfam family "Metazoan signal recognition particle RNA". Rfam says of the family: The signal recognition particle (SRP) is a universally conserved ribonucleoprotein. It is involved in the co-translational targeting of proteins to membranes. Lineage: Eukaryota; Metazoa; Chordata; Mammalia; Primates; Hylobatidae. The record is from Rfam by way of RNAcentral.